AAACGAAACAUGGCUGAGAGAAAACAG
This 27-nucleotide small RNA is filed under the name Bombyx mori (domestic silkworm). RNAcentral describes it as "ovarian small RNA-9959". Lineage: Eukaryota; Metazoa; Arthropoda; Insecta; Lepidoptera; Bombycidae. The record is from RNAcentral.